CCUACGGGUGGCAGCAGUGGGGAAUAUUGCACAAUGGGCGCAAGCCUGAUGCAGCCAUGCCGCGUGUGUGAAGAAGGCCUUCGGGUUGUAAAGCACUUUCAGCGGGGAGGAAGGCGGUGAGGUUAAUAACCUCAUCGAUUGACGUUACCCGCAGAAGAAGCACCGGCUAACUCCGUGCCAGCAGCCGCGGUAAUACGGAGGGUGCAAGCGUUAAUCGGAAUUACUGGGCGUAAAGCGCACGCAGGCGGUCUGUCAAGUCGGAUGUGAAAUCCCCGGGCUCAACCGGGGAACUGCAUUCGAAACUGGCAGGCUAGGGUCUUGUAGAGGGGGGUAGAAUUCCAGGUGUAGCGGUGAAAUGCGUAGAGAUCUGGAGGAAUACCGGUGGCGAAGGCGGCCCCCUGGACAAAGACUGACGCUCAGGUGCGAAAGCGUGGGGAGCAAACAGGAUUAGAUACCCGGGUAGUC
This 465-nucleotide ribosomal RNA is filed under the name uncultured Klebsiella sp. RNAcentral describes it as "bacterial SSU rRNA". It matches the Rfam family "Bacterial small subunit ribosomal RNA", at positions 338 to 795 of the family's 1533-position model. The record is from RNAcentral. Lineage: Bacteria; Pseudomonadati; Pseudomonadota; Gammaproteobacteria; Enterobacterales; Enterobacteriaceae.